GAUGAACGCUGGCGGCGUGCCUAAUACAUGCAAGUCGAGCGAACAGACGAGGAGCUUGCUCCUCUGACGUUAGCGGCGGACGGGUGAGUAACACGUGGAUAACCUACCUAUAAGACUGGGAUAACUUCGGGAAACCGGAGCUAAUACCGGAUAAUAUAUUGAACCGCAUGGUUCAAUAGUGAAAGACGGUUUUGCUGUCACUUAUAGAUGGAUCCGCGCCGCAUUAGCUAGUUGGUAAGGUAACGGCUUACCAAGGCAACGAUGCGUAGCCGACCUGAGAGGGUGAUCGGCCACCCUGGAACUGAGCCACGGUCCAGACUCCUACGGGAGGCAGCAGUAGGGAAUCUUCCGCAAUGGGCGAAAGCUUGACGGAGCAACGCCGCGUGAGUGAUGAAGGUCUUCGGAUCGUAAAACUCUGUUAUUAGGGAAGAACAAAUGUGUAAGUAACUAUGCACGUCUUGACGGUACCUAAUCAGAAAGCCACGGCUAACUACGUG
RNAcentral lists this ribosomal RNA (497 nucleotides) under uncultured bacterium. RNAcentral describes it as "partial 16S ribosomal RNA". It matches the Rfam family "Bacterial small subunit ribosomal RNA", at positions 28 to 507 of the family's 1533-position model. The record is from RNAcentral.